RNAcentral lists this ribosomal RNA (253 nucleotides) under uncultured bacterium. Its description in RNAcentral is "partial 16S ribosomal RNA". It matches the Rfam family "Bacterial small subunit ribosomal RNA", at positions 524 to 776 of the family's 1533-position model. The record is from RNAcentral.
UACGUAGGGUGCGAGCGUUGUCCGGAAUUAUUGGGCGUAAAGGGCUCGUAGGCGGUUUGUCGCGUCGGGAGUGAAAACACUGGGCUUAACCGAGUGCUUGCUUUCGAUACGGGCAGACUAGAGGUAUGCAGGGGAGAACGGAAUUCCUGGUGUAGCGGUGAAAUGCGCAGAUAUCAGGAGGAACACCGGUGGCGAAGGCGGUUCUCUGGGCAUUACCUGACGCUGAGGAGCGAAAGUGUGGGGAGCGAACAGG